Molecule: ribosomal RNA, 492 nt
Filed under: uncultured bacterium
Lineage: Bacteria
Description: partial 16S ribosomal RNA
Rfam family: Bacterial small subunit ribosomal RNA
Source: RNAcentral
AGUGAACGCCGGCGGUAGGCCUAACACAUGCAAGUCGAACGGCAGCACAGUAAGAGCUUGCUCUUACGGGUGGCGAGUGGCGGACGGGUGAGGAAUACAUCGGAAUCUACUUUUUCGUGGGGGAUAACGUAGGGAAACUUACGCUAAUACCGCAUACGACCUACGGGUGAAAGCAGGGGACCUUCGGACCUUGCGCGAUUGAAUGAGCCGAUGUCGGAUUAGCUAGUUGGCGGGGUAAAGGCCCACCAAGGCGACGAUCCGUAGCUGGUCUGAGAGGAUGAUCAGCCACACUGGAACUGAGACACGGUCCAGACUCCUACGGGAGGCAGCAGUGGGGAAUAUUGGACAAUGGGCGCAAGCCUGAUCCAGCCAUACCGCGUGGGUGAAGAAGGCCUUCGGGUUGUAAAGCCCUUUUGUUGGGAAAGAAAAGCAGCAGGUUAAUACCCCGCUGUUCUGACGGUACCCAAAGAAUAAGCACCGGCUAACUUCGUG